UAGGGAAUCUUCGGCAAUGGACGAAAGUCUGACCGAGCAACGCCGCGUGAGUGAAGAAGGUUUUCGGAUCGUAAAACUCUGUUGUUAGAGAAGAACAAGGACGUUAGUAACUGAACGUCCCCUGACGGUAUCUAACCUAAAAGCCACGGCUAACUACGUGCCAGCAGCCGCGGUAAUACGUAGGUGGCAAGCGUUGUCCGGAUUUAUUGGGCGUAAAGCGAGCGCAGGCGGUUUCUUAAGUCUGAUGUGAAAGCCCCCGGCUCAACCGGGGAGGGUCAUUGGAAACUGGGAGACUUGAGUGCAGAAGAGGAGAGUGGAAUUCCAUGUGUAGCGGUGAAAUGCGUAGAUAUAUGGAGGAACACCAGUGGCGAAGGCGGCUCUCUGGUCUGUAACUGACGCUGAGGCUCGAAAGCGUGGGGAGCAAACAGG
This 429-nucleotide ribosomal RNA is filed under the name Gemmatimonadota bacterium. RNAcentral's name for it is "Gemmatimonadetes bacterium partial 16S ribosomal RNA". It matches the Rfam family "Bacterial small subunit ribosomal RNA", at positions 355 to 776 of the family's 1533-position model. The record is from RNAcentral. Lineage: Bacteria; Pseudomonadati; Gemmatimonadota.